Molecule: small nuclear RNA, 114 nt
Gene: U5
Rfam family: U5 spliceosomal RNA
About the family: U5 RNA is a component of both types of known spliceosome. The precise function of this molecule is unknown, though it is known that the 5' loop is required for splice site selection and p220 binding, and that both the 3' stem-loop and the Sm site are important for Sm protein binding and cap methylation.
Source: Ensembl
ACGCUCUGGUUUUUCUUCGGAUCCUGUAAACCUUUGACCUUUUACUAAUGAUUUCCGUGGAGAGGAACAACUUGCGUCUUAAACCUGUUUUGGGAGUUCCCGUCGUGGCGAAGC